This is a long non-coding RNA of Vidua chalybeata, 217 nucleotides long. RefSeq lists it as uncharacterized. The transcript is spliced from 2 exons. Lineage: Eukaryota; Metazoa; Chordata; Aves; Passeriformes; Viduidae. The record is from RefSeq and is a predicted model, not a curated record.
GUCGUGGUUUUUUAAAGCUAUACCGAGUUGUGUGUGCAACCAGUUAUGUGGGGGAAAAAAGAAUGUGAGGAGCAGAGAACCUAUGGAUCAUGAAAAGAAAAACAUCAGGACUCUGGAGAGGUGAUUGAAGGAUUGAAUUCUGGCUUCCAUGCUCCCCCACAACACUGUGGGCAUGACUUUGUCCCACAGGACUUAAUAUCAAUGGUUUUUGCUUGAA